This 4495-nucleotide small RNA is filed under the name Pongo abelii (Sumatran orangutan). RNAcentral describes it as "retained intron". The record is from RNAcentral. Lineage: Eukaryota; Metazoa; Chordata; Mammalia; Primates; Hominidae.
CAUUCAUCGAUCCAUCCACCCACCCAAUCACCCACCCACCUACCAUCCAUUCAUCCAUCAAUACACCCAUGCAACAUCCAUUCAUUCAGGCAUCUGUUCAUCUACCCACACACCUACCCAUUCAUCCACCCUCCCAGCCAUCCAUUCAUCCAUCAAUUCACGCAUGGAAUAUCCAUUCAUGCAGCCAUCCAUUCAUCUACCCACCCACCUACCCAUUUGUCCACCCACCUACCCAUCCAGUCAUCCAUCAAUCCACCCACGUAACAUCCAUUCAUCCAGCCAUCCACUCAUCUGCCCACCCACCUAUCCAUUAAUUCACCCACUCACCCACCUUUCCAUCCAUUCAUCCAUCAGUAUACUCAUGCAACACUGAUCCACCCACCCACCCCUUCAUCCAUCAAUCCACCCAUGGAACAUCCAUUCAUCCAGCCAUCCAUUCACCUACCCAUCUACCUACUCAUUCAUCUACCCACCCACCCACCCAUCCAUUCAUCCAUCAGUCCACCCAUCCAUUCAUCCAACUAUCCAUUCAUCUACCCACCUACCUACCCAGUCAUCCACUCACUUACCCAUAAUCCAUCCAUCAAUCUAUUCAUGCAUCUUGCAUCCACCCACCCACCCAUCCAUUCAUCCAUCAAUCCACCAAUGUGGCACCCAUUCAUCCACCCACCCACUCAUCCAUCUAUUCAUCCACCCACCCAUCCAUCCACCCUCCCACCUACCCAUCCAUCCAUCUUCCCACCCACCCGUCCAUUCAUCCACCCACACAUCCAUUCAUCCAUCAAUUCACUCAUGCAACAUAUAUCCACCUACCCAACCAUCCAUCCAUCCAUCAUGCAAACAUCAACUGGGCUUGUAAUUGUUGAAGACUGUUAGGUACAGAAGCAUCUAUAAUGCACAGGUUCUCGAUUGUGAAAAGGGGUUGUGUACACACCAGGAGGCAUCAGUGUUGUGUGGUGAGUAAGCCAUGAGAUGUGCGUGUUGUCUACUCAGACAAAAAUGGAUGAGCAGAGGGUGGAAUGCGGGUGUUGGUGCUGAGACUGGAACCACAUGUAUGUUGGUCUCCUUCCUACCCAGGGCCUUUGCUGUUACAGCCCAUUUCUUAGCAAACACCCAGUGACCCAGAUGAAUCAGAGAUGCAUGGAUGUACUCGCAACCAGCACAUUCCUGCUGGGACAGACAUAUAGCCCAAGCAUCUUGACCUCCAGGUGGCAUGUCCGCGCCAACGUGUGCAACCUAGUGGAUCGUGAGCAGCUGGGGGUGCAGCUGCCAGCACUCAGGGUGCCUGAGGAGUGAACAGUGGGGGGCUGAGCCACAAGAAGGAGAGGCAUUGGAGGGAGGUGGUCCAGCUGGACCCUUUCUCGUGGGAGGUGCAGAACCUGGUCUAGGACCACUGAAACUUGUUGUGUUGCCAGGAACAAGCCAGCUCACACCAGCUGGAACAUGGGCGCCAUCCUGGAGGGGAAGCGCAGCGGCUUUGCACCCUGCGGGCCCAAAGAGCGGCUUUCCAUGGAGAUGAUCCUAAAGGCUGAGGAAGGGAACCACGACUGGAUUUGUAGGAUCCUGAAGGGCAACUUUGCUAGUGCCGACGUGGCGGACGCAAAGGGCUACACUGUGCUUGCUGCGGCUGCCGUAAGCCCCACACCCUCCCGGCUGGUGCCCGUAGGAGCUUAGCUGUGAGGGUCACACAUGUGGGUGGCUCUCUGUGGCCCCCUCUGCAGGAGCAGAGCUGAGGUACAUGGGGACACUGAUGUGUCCACACCUCCACCUUGCCGUUCAGCAGAAACUCACUCAGCUGAGCGUGACACUCGUGGUCCAGUGCAGAAGGGUUUGGGGCAGAGUGCCCGUUCCAUUCCUCUGUCCCACACUUGUCCCUUUGCCAAGCUCCCGAAUGAGCACUGGUUCCUGCCCUGCCAUGGGGUGGCCUCAUGAGGGCAUCAGGACACCCGGUGACCCUUCCCGCCCUUGAGGGCCAGGCACAUCAUCCUGAGUCCCGCCUCAUUUCCCUCCAGACUCACUGCCACAACGACAUUGUGGACCUUCUCCUGGACUGUGGGGCCGAUGUGAACAAGUGCUCAGACGAGGGCCUCACAGCACUCAGCAUGUGUUUCCUCCUCUACUACCCCGCCCAGUCAUUCAAGCCCAAUGUUGCUGAACGGACCGUACCUGAGCCCCAGGAAUCUCCAAAAUUCCCAGUUGUUCCAAUCCUUUCAUCAUCAUUUAUGGACACAAACCUGGAGUCUCUGUACUAUGAGGUGAACGUGCCUUCCCAGGGUAGCUAUGAGCUGAGGCCACCGCCAACACCACCGGCACUGCCACACAUCUCGGGCAGCCAGGAGGGCGGCCACUCCCAGGACACCGGGCAGUGUGGGGAGUCCAUGGACCACAGGAGCAGCUCUCUGAAGGGGGACUCCCCGUUGGUGAAGGGCAGCCUUGGCCAUGUGGAAAGUGGGCUCGAGGACGUGCUGGGAAACACAGACCGGGGCAGUCUGUGCAGUCUUGAGACGAACUUUGAGUCCAAUGUGUGUGUGUGCAACUUCUCCAUCGAGCUCUCGCAGGCCAUGCUGGAGAGAAGCGCCCAGUCCCACAGCUUGCUGAAGAUGGCCUCACCCUCACUGUGUACCAGCAGCUUCGACAAAGGGACCAUGCGGAGGAUGGCGCUGUCCAUGAUCGAGUAGGUCCUGGCACCAGCUGGUGGGGGUGGAGGGCCACCAUCAGGGCUGAAUCCUAUGCUCAGCAGACCCGCGUCUCUUCCCUGUGCCAGCGGGAGGUGUUGUGUCUGGAGAUGUGUGUCUGAAUGUGUGAGCAUCCCUGUGUCGGUGGCUCCACGCCAUGGCCUGCUUUGGCCUUUGGCACUGGCCUGAAGUGUCUCUGUGGGAGCCUCAGCAGGGGCCACUGUCAGGGGUCCUAUCCUAGCCAUGGUGCAUGUGAGUGACACCUGCCUGGGCAGCUCACACACCCCUGCUGCCCACCCUGUCUAUACCAGUGUGUCUCAAAAUGUGGUCCAUGCACCCCUGGGGGUCCAAGACCCUUUCAGAGAGUCUGUGGGGUCAAAAUGAUUCUCUUGAUAACCCUGAGACUCUCUUAGCCUUCUCCUUGUGUUGACGUUGGUGGAUGGUAUGAAGACAGGGUCGUGCAGACCGCCAGCCCCCAGCCUGCAGGGCAGCAGUGCCUGGCCUGCUUGGGGGCAUGGUAUUCCUUUACCACGGUGCGCACUUGCGGGGAUGCCUGUCUCACUGAAGAAUGCCUUUGACAAAGCAGAAAAGCAAUGACCAAUUGCAUUAAAUCUUGCUCCUUGCGUACACACCCCUCGAAUAUUCUGGGUCGGAAAACAUGGGAAGGACACUGAUGUGCGUCUGCCACAGACCAAGGCACACCGCUUCUCUGCAAGAAGCACUUACCCCAGGGCCGGAGUAGCAAAGAGAAUGCGGCACCUUCCCAACCUCCUGAUCCAUUUUUGAUCGGAAGAAUGACCACUGGUACGUGGCUGUUCAUUCUCCUGAACACAGCCUGCCGCUUUAAGGAAAACAUAUGACACUAUUUGUUGCUGGUGAAAUUUACGUUUUCAAGUGAAUAGCAGAAUUCUGGACACUUGGCCGCCACCACCAAGACCUUCAUAGCUUCCCUUAACUUUGAGACGUGGGUGUUCAGAGGUUUUUCACAUGAGAUGGCGUUAGCAGCGCAGUUUUCUGAUACUGCCUGAUGACAUGCCGACAGUGCUCAGAUCUCUUCUGUUGGUGAGCCAGCUUUCCCCACACGGCCAAGUUCUGAUGUGGAACCAUCGCGAGGUGGGUGAAGAUCCAUUGACGGUGAGAGGUGGGCCCGUGGGCUUCAGUGCAGCCAGGCGCAGAAGGCUGGUCCAUGAGUGUAUAGCUCCGCCAGGUAGCUAGCUCACCGCCCCCAGCCUGGGUUCAUGUAGUUCAAAUAGGAAGACCACGAUGAUCAGAAAGGCUGCUCAAAUACUCCUUCGUCCAGCUGCGUACCUGGGGGAGGCUGAGUCUCCACUCACUUCCACCAAGGCUGCGCAGAGCAGAUAGGGGAAUCCAGCGAAGGUGGAAAGCAGUGCCAUCCUUCUCCCCAACUGGUUUUGUUUUGUAAAAUAACUUUUUGUGACAGUGUUACUUACUAGUAACAUGCAGUGGGUUUGUUAUGGUUAACAAUUUGGUGAGCAUUAUUAAGAGGUGAAGCCAGCUGAGCUGCUGGGUUGGGUGGGCACUUGGAGAACUUUUGUGUCUAGCUAAAGGAUUGUAAAUGCAUCAAUCAGCACUCUGUAAAAUUGACCAAUCAGCGUUCUGUAAAAUUGACCAAUCAACGUUCUGUAAAAUGGACCAGUCAGCAGGAUGUGGGCGGGGCCAAAAAAGGGAAUAAAAGCUGGCCACCGCCAGCCCCCACACCAGCCUACAGCAGCAGCCUGCAGCAGCAACCUGCUUAGUUCCACUUCCACACUGUGGAAGCUUUGUUCUUUCACUCUUCUCAAUAAAUCUUGCUGCUGCUC